GACGAACGCUGGCGGCGUGCUUAACACAUGCAAGUCGAACGGAAAGGCCCUGCUUUUGUGGGGUGCUCGAGUGGCGAACGGGUGAGUAACACGUGAGUAACCUGCCCUUGACUUUGGGAUAACUUCAGGAAACUGGGGCUAAUACCGGAUAGGAGCUCCUGCUGCAUGGUGGGGGUUGGAAAGUUUCGGCGGUUGGGGAUGGACUCGCGGCUUAUCAGCUUGUUGGUGGGGUAGUGGCUUACCAAGGCUUUGACGGGUAGCCGGCCUGAGAGGGUGACCGGCCACAUUGGGACUGAGAUACGGCCCAGACUCCUACGGGAGGCAGCAGUGGGGAAUAUUGCACAAUGGGCGGAAGCCUGAUGCAGCAACGCCGCGUGCGGGAUGACGGCCUUCGGGUUGUAAACCGCUUUCGCCUGUGACGAAGCGUGAGUGACGGUAAUGGGUAAAGAAGCACCGGCUAACUACGUGCCAGCAGCCGCGGUGAUACGUAGGGUGCGAGCGUUGUCCGGAUUUAUUGGGCGUAAAGGGCUCGUAGGUGGUUGAUCGCGUCGGAAGUGUAAUCUUGGGGCUUAACCCUGAGCGUGCUUUCGAUACGGGUUGACUUGAGGAAGGUAGGGGAGAAUGGAAUUCCUGGUGGAGCGGUGGAAUGCGCAGAUAUCAGGAGGAACACCAGUGGCGAAGGCGGUUCUCUGGGCCUUUCCUGACGCUGAGGAGCGAAAGCGUGGGGAGCGAACAGGCUUAGAUACCCUGGUAGUCCACGCUGUAAACGGUGGGUACUAGGUGUGGGGUCCAUUCCACGGGUUCCGUGCCGUAGCUAACGCUUUAAGUACCCCGCCUGGGGAGUACGGCCGCAAGGCUAAAACUCAAAGGAAUUGACGGGGCCCCGCACAAGCGGCGGAGCAUGCGGAUUAAUUCGAUGCAACGCGUAGAACCUUACCUGGGUUUGACAUGGAUCGGGAGCGCUCAGAGAUGGGUGUGCCUCUUUUGGGGUCGGUCCACAGGUGGUGCAUGGCUGUCGUCAGCUCGUGUCGUGAGAUGUUGGGUUAAGUCCCGCAACGAGCGCAACCCUUGUUCACUGUUGCCAGCACGUUAUGGUGGGGACUCAGUGGAGACCGCCGGGGUCAACUCGGAGGAAGGUGGGGAUGACGUCAAGUCACCAUGCCCCUUAUGUCCAGGGCUUCACGCAUGCUACAAUGGCUGGUACAGAGAGUGGCGAGCCUGUGAGGGUGAGCGAAUCUCGGAAAGCCGGUCUCAGUUCGGAUUGGGGUCUGCAACUCGACCUCAUGAAGUCGGAGUCGCUAGUAAUCGCAGAUCAGCAACGCUGCGGUGAAUACGUUCCCGGG
Molecule: ribosomal RNA, 1343 nt
Filed under: uncultured bacterium
Lineage: Bacteria
Description: 16S ribosomal RNA
Rfam family: Bacterial small subunit ribosomal RNA
Source: RNAcentral